UGCAGAAGAAGGAGGAACCGACUGGGUGCGACGACCCAAACCGACCAAACGUCCCUUCUUCUUUGUAACCGACUGAAAUAGAAAAUAACCAAAUUUAAAUCAAGAAAUAAAUGAAUUGAACUUUAAAAAAAAGAACUUACGGAUUCAACGAUUUCGUUGAUUCAAAACCGGGACAAGUUGGUCGAAGCCGUCGAAGUGUCAUCCUCGG
RNAcentral lists this long non-coding RNA (208 nucleotides) under Brassica napus (rape). Its description in RNAcentral is "long non-coding RNA (BNAP_LNC022718)". The record is from RNAcentral. Lineage: Eukaryota; Viridiplantae; Streptophyta; Magnoliopsida; Brassicales; Brassicaceae.